AGAGAAGACUCUGCGGUCCCAUGCUGGUGACCCACCAAAACAUCUAUGAAAAAGAAACUCUGGAAUACAAAUCUGAGCCGCUGUGAGCCUUGUCUCCUUCAGCAUCCGCGCCGAGGGUAAGCUCUCCCUCAGCACACACCUCUUCCCUCCCUUGUAUCUGGGCGAGGGGGAUGAGGAAUUUGGGGAUUUUGUUUUUACCAUGAAGAAAAAAGCUGCUUCUCUGCCAGCAUUGCAACUUCCCCUGGAAGCAAGGAGAAGUUCAGAGCAGCGCUGGGAAUAACAAAAGCGCCAGCCUGCCUGGGCACAAAGCACACUGCCAAGGCUUCAAAACUAUAAUCAUAAACUCCGUGGCACCGCUAUAAAUAUGGAACAAACCAGCAAGUGACUCAUCUGCCGGGACGAUGUUCCUUCCCUGUGCACUGGGGGUGGGGUAGGUGGGGUGGGGGUGGGGCUAAGCUCCCCCCCUUCUCUUUUUUGAAUUACAUUUAAUUCUUCUCCAAAAAGAGUCCUCCUCGUCUGAUUUCUUUGACAGAAUACUUCUUUUAGACUCUUAGCACCAAUUUUUCUGCAGAAAACAUGUCAAACGCUCCUUAAACAUUUUGUAAAUACAAUGGUACCGGCUGAGUUUCUUCUCAGUUAAGUUCAGACUAGCCGGUAUCUCUUGCUUGGGGAAUAAAGCCCUCCUCCACCCCACCUCACACGCUCCAGAUGUUGAGGCUUCAGAAAGUCCAGAAGAGAGCGAUUUCCCUCCAGUGAGGAGGGGUCCUUGAUGCCGUGGAGGGGAUCUAGGCUCUGGUUUUCCAACCAUAUACCACGUGCGAAGCCCACCAACAAAACAGGCUCUCGGAGCUGUCAAGAGUCCCCACCAUCUGUUUCUCUGAAUCCUGGGCUGCAAAAGAGAAAAUGCUCUGGGAGUCACCUUACAGAGAAGGUCUCAUGGAGACAUUCAGAGAAUCAGCAUGCAGUAUGAACAGAGCAGGAAAAAAAAAAUCACUAAAGUCAACAGAGCUCAGACACACAGACAUUAAAUUGUACUUCAUUCUCAAGAGUUUAAAUAUAAGUAGCCCCAUCAGAGUUGUGGCUUGCAGAUCUGCCCCUGAAAGCCUAGACAUACUCACAUCCCUUGUGGCUGUCAAACAGUGGGAAAAUCUGUGUAGGCCCCCGCCUUUCCCAACCCUGACAGUUCUCCCAAGCCGCAGAGGCUCAGUGUGACAGGGGAGGCAGAUGACACAGUACUGACCCAGGUCUGGAGGAAGCUAAAAAUGAAGCCUUACCAAAUUCCACUUUGUGGUCCCUUCCUAGAUGCUGAACAUCCAUCUUACUUCAGUUGGCUUAAAGCUAAGCAGCUUGCCUGUGGUGGGUGGCUGCUGUAUAGGCCAGUGAAAAAAAUCUAGAUGCUCUUCAGUGCCGUAAGCAGGGAACGUGUAUGUGGGCUUCCUUAAGCCCUUGGAUGACGUUCCCUGAACGCUCUUUUCUCCUUGUGCCAAAGAAACAGAGUCUGGAGGCCAGGGAGGACUGACUGGUUCUAAUCGACGUCUUCUAUACUCCUGCUUUGCAUGUCUAGAUCUGUUCAUAGCCAGCAAGGCCACAGGCUUAUGCAAUGAAUCCCACACCCACCUACUGCGACCUUCCCAACAGUACAGCAGGUUGCAAGCUGCAGGGACAGAGUGAUCACUUCAACUAAAGAAUCCUGGAGUUUCUGUCACAAGGAAAUAAUGACUGCAGGGACGGACCAUUUAAGCAGAGGUUUUAAAAACGCAGAUCAGCUGAAGACUAUUGUUUGCUGUGGGCAGGACCUCUGUAUGGAAGUGGAGAGACCUGCAAUUCACCUGGGAAAGUCUAACACACAUGCAUGAUGUGCUUAAUGUCUAUGAAGCCUGGAAGCUUUGUUGGCAAACGUGUACAGAUUGGCCAAAGUGCCUGCUUGCUAAUCCUCCUCCAACAGGGAGGCGUUACCUUUCUUGGUUUGGGCCAUUAUUUGGGGCUUAACAGUUUGAAUAUCCAAUGGCUAAGACUGGCCUCCUAAUGCCUUACCCGUUCCUAUCAUGAUUUAAUUUAAAGAUAUGGUGUGUGAUCUAUGGUUUACCUGUUCCGAAAUGUGAUUGGAGAUAGCUUAUCCCCAAGCACUCAUCUCUGACAGAACUGUAAAGGUGAGGCGGGAAGAGAAGCGACAGACCUGACGCCUGGGUCUGGUGAAGCAAGAACAAUGGAGUCUAACAGAGAGCAGCUCUGAGCUGAUACUCAAGGCAAAAGGGAGCAGAUGCACGGCUGUUCCUGAAAAACUCAAGACUCAGACCCGUCUUUCAGGACAGACAUGCUCUUUGCUGGCCUUCAUCUACGAGGGGGGAGCGUCUCUUUAGGAAGAGCGAAGGUAAACUGGCUGUGGCGGUACCCCAGCAUUCGAGAGGAGAGGACGGGAUGGGAGGAGCAAGAGUUUAUGAUCAUCUUCAGCAGCAAGUUGGAGGCGAGCCCAGGCUCCAUGAAAGCCUGCAGCAAGUGAAUAUUAAACGGAACAGUGAAAGACCAGAUGUCUGAUGGCCCCAUACUGCAAGCCAUAGUAGGAAGAAGGACAUUGUCUCACUGGUCCCAAACAAGAGAGUGGCCACAGGAGGCUUUUGAAAAAACUGUCCUUAGCAAACAUUUGCCAAUAAAAGCCUUCUUUUACAUUUUU
This 2671-nucleotide long non-coding RNA is filed under the name Mus musculus (house mouse). RNAcentral describes it as "long non-coding RNA chr4:57229054-57231725". Lineage: Eukaryota; Metazoa; Chordata; Mammalia; Rodentia; Muridae. The record is from RNAcentral.